GAUCAAUGGCUCAGGAUGAACGCUAGCUACAGGCUUAACACAUGCAAGUCGAGGGGCAGCAUGAACUUAGCUUGCUAAGUUUGAUGGCGACCGGCGCACGGGUGAGUAACACGUAUCCAACCUUCCGUUUACUCAGGGAUAGCCUUUCGAAAGAAAGAUUAAUACCUGAUAGUAUGGUGAGAUUGCAUGAUAACACCAUUAAAGAUUUAUUGGUAAACGAUGGGGAUGCGUUCCA
RNAcentral lists this ribosomal RNA (235 nucleotides) under uncultured bacterium. Its description in RNAcentral is "partial 16S ribosomal RNA". It matches the Rfam family "Bacterial small subunit ribosomal RNA", at positions 15 to 240 of the family's 1533-position model. The record is from RNAcentral.